Long non-coding RNA from Pipra filicauda (Wire-tailed manakin), 761 nucleotides. RefSeq lists it as uncharacterized. The transcript has 2 exons. NCBI's taxonomy places the organism in Eukaryota, Metazoa, Chordata, Aves, Passeriformes, Pipridae. The record is from RefSeq and is a predicted model, not a curated record.
GGGGAGGGUCGCGAUUGACCCCGAUUGAUCCCAAUCGAUCCCGGCCCCAGGGUCUCCCCCCGCCGUGAUGUUUUUCACGUGCAGCCCCAACGAGGCCAUGGUGGUGUCGGGUGAGUUCGGGGGGUCCGGGGGCUCCUGGUGACCCCUCCAAAUCUCCCCCAAGACUCUCGGGAACCACCCAGAUCCCCCCAAGACUCCUGGGGACCCUCCGAAAGCCCCCCUCCUGGGGGCCGCCCCUCCGCCUUUCCCCCUCUGUCACGGGUGACAGCGGGUCUGUAAGCACCUUGGCACGUACUGACGAAGCAAUAGAUGUUGACCAGAUCAAAGUAUACCCCUGAGAUGGACUGAAAAGAGAGGACUGAAAAUGGAGGCCCUGAUCCUGACAACAUACUGAUGCAUCCUGAAGAAGUUGUCCUGUGGGAACAGAGAACACUGUCUCAUGAAAACAGGAGCACUGUCUCAUGAGAACAAGGAGCUGUUUUGAACAAGAGUAGUUGGGAAACACAUCAACAUGAGAGAAAAAUAAGAGCAGGUGCUCAGGACUGUUGUGGGAAAGAACUGGGCUGUUUUGAGAAAGAGCAAAGUUGUUGUGAGAGAGUAGAGUUUAGAAAAUGCACCUAUUAGCUGUAAGAAUUCUGGUGUGAAAGUUUGAACUGUCCUAUCCGUGUGCAUUACGUGUGUUCAAAAACUGUACUUAAGGGGCUGCGCAGCAGCCCCGCUGUCCCUGCUUUUUUCUUGGAAUAAACUUUACUGGAACCUUU